UCCCCCUUCUCCCCCCCCCCGGCUUCGGACAGCUCCGAGAGCAGAAAAUGGCCCCUGGGCUGCUCUGCUGCUGUUGAUGCGAUCCCUGGACCCCCCCCACCGUAACCCCGCACCACAAAGAAGAGGAGAACCCUGUGCCCUGCAGCGGCCAUGAAGACAGAGAAGGAUGAAGCUCUGCCCAACUUCUCCCUGGGGGGGAAAUACUCCGGGGAGGGGGCAGGCCCCAUGACAGCACUGGGGAGUGGAGGAGCCCCCCCAGCACAGGACCUGCGGCUCCUAAAGCGCCGUCCAGCCCCAGGGAAGCACUACGCCUGCUCCAGCUACGGCUGCAAACUGGCCUUCCCCAGCAUGCAAGAGCUGAUGGACCACCUGAAGGUGCACUACAGACCCACGCAGUCCCUUGAGGGCAAAACCUUCCAGUGCCCCACGCUGGGCUGCACAGAGACCUUCCCCAGCAUGCAGGACCUCAUGGCACACAUGAAAGUGCACUACAAACCCAACCGCUACUUCAAGUGUGAGAACUGCCUGCUGCGCUUCCGCACCCACCGCUCCCUCUUCAAGCACCUCCACGUCUGCUCCGACCGCGCCAGCAGCCCCGCACCGCCCCCCCAAAAGGCCGAGAAGCCCAACCUGCCCCCCGCAUCCACCCAAGAGAAGGAACCCACGGCCAAACCCCCCCCCGAGGGGCUGCCCAAGCCCCCCACCGUCAUCCGGCACACGGAGAAAGAAGCCAUCAGCACAGCCCCUGGCACAGACACGGCCUCCAGCCUCCCCGACUCACUGGAAGCUCUGCCACUCGUCCCACAGGCCCCACAUCCCUUCCCACUGCUGGAACCCAACCUGUUUGGCCCUCCGACCUUGACUCGCUUCUCAGGGCCGCAUCCUCCUCCUCCUCCCCCUUCCUCGGUGCCAUUCCUCUCCUACGUGCACCCCCCGGUGCCCUUCAGCCUGCCCACAGCCCAGCCCCGUCUGCGGCCCUGCUCGCCCAGCCAUGGCCCAUCAGCCUCCAACGCCGUCUGGAAGAAGAGCCAAGGUGUGAGUGUCAGCCCACUCCUCCCAUGCUUUGGCUCAGGAGUGACUCCAGUGCUCAGCAUGGGGGUGCUCCUACCCCAUACGUAUCCCACGUGUGCUCCCAGCAGACUCUGUGCUUCCCUCCUUCACCUGUCCUUGCAGGGCACUCCUCCAACAGCCGCAUCGUGUGGGAGCACACACGGGGCCGUUACACCUGCAUGCAGUGCCCCUAUAACACGGCUUCAAGGGAGGAGAUGACGCUGCACAUCGAGGAGCAUCGCAAGAACCCCCCAGCAGCCGGGCGCAUGGACACAGACGUGGACUUCGGGGUGAGCGUCGCCUCCUUCCACUCGAAGCUGACGCCAGAGAUGGAGAACUCCCUGUACUCACAGCUCUGAGACACCCCACUGCUCCUGCUGAGCUGAGGGCACCCCAUGCUACGCAGCACCUGGACCCUGGGAGCAUCCCCAGCACAGGCUGCCAGAGGAGGGUGGCAAUUUGGGGCCUCUUUUGAGCCUGCCCCCACUUUAUUUUUGAGAUGCUGAACCCCCCAGGAGCCCUCGUGUCUCUUCCUUCCCUAGAAGCUUCAUUGGUCCAGUCUGGGGGUGGGGAGGUGAAGGGUUUGGGGAGAGCCCAUUGGAUGCUCAGGAACAAGAUCUGGAAAUUAAUAAAUGGGAAUUGUACAGGA
Molecule: RNA transcript, 1699 nt
Organism: Coturnix japonica (Japanese quail)
Lineage: Eukaryota; Metazoa; Chordata; Aves; Galliformes; Phasianidae
Gene: ZNF414
Gene name: zinc finger protein 414
Source: RefSeq, a predicted model, not a curated record